Molecule: long non-coding RNA, 403 nt
Filed under: Homo sapiens (human)
Lineage: Eukaryota; Metazoa; Chordata; Mammalia; Primates; Hominidae
Description: HSALNT0263322
Source: RNAcentral
CUUGGGGCCAUGUUAGCCAUGCAUUCUAUAAUGCUGAACAUCUUUGCUUCCCUUAUAAGCAUGCGGACUGACUGCUCUUUGCAUCAUGGUUCUAGCAAGUAUUAUGUACCAAGUGUGAAAACAAGCAAAUUACAAUGCAAUGUCCUUUAACCCCCUCUAGCAAUCCUGAGAUGAGGAGGCUGAGGCCAAAGGAAAGACUAAGACCUGCCCAUGGACACAUGUUGGCAAAGACCAAGCAGGAACUCGAGCCAGUUUACCUGAAACCAAGGUCCAGGCAUUUGUGAAGAGUUGAUGGUCUUGCCUGGAAUGCCCAACCCCAUGUCCUGGACGUCUUUCGACUGGACUGCCCAGACCUCAGAGCAGGGUCUGUGUUGACUCACCUCAUGUCUCCAGCUCUCCCAGC